Long non-coding RNA from Zingiber officinale, 927 nucleotides. RefSeq lists it as uncharacterized. The transcript has 2 exons. The record is from RefSeq and is a predicted model, not a curated record. NCBI's taxonomy places the organism in Eukaryota, Viridiplantae, Streptophyta, Magnoliopsida, Zingiberales, Zingiberaceae.
UUAACCUCCCCCCUCUUCACCGCCGAAACCCCUUCUUCUCCGUGCCCUAAACCUCUCACGUAGCCCUUUCCCCUCUUCAGUGCCGAGCCUCUCCCUCCCCUUCCCUCUCCCUCGCAUGAACACCUCGGAUGUCGCCGGCCUCUCCUCACGCCAGCAUCGGAGAUGUUGCACCAUCGUCGGUCGCGAUGAGUCAUCGGCCUCUCCUCUCUCGAGUCAUAGCCGCGACCUCUCCUCACGCGAGCACCCCAACAGUCGGUGAUCUCCCCUCCCCUGCCUCAACUCGGCACCAUAGCAACCACCAGCGGGUCUUCUUCUUUGCGAAUCAUAACUGCCAUCUCGUGCCCUAGCCGAUCCUCUUCCCCGCUCUGACGCCGACAAGCGGCAAGCCCCAGCUUGCCUGCCCUAGAUCUGUCUCUCAUCGCCACACCUCUUCUCACUCGAACUCCCCUCUACGGUUGACGCUGCCCUUUGCCGUGAGUAGCCCACACCGACGCCGACCCCUCUCCUCCCGAGCCGUGCGCUAACUGAUCCAGCAGGGUUCUUCCGAUGCUGUUUGGGGUUGCUGGAGAGGUCUAGAUACGUUGAGAUUUUGGAUCAAGAUCAUGAAGCAUUCGACUGGGCUGGUUGGUGUUUUGUUCCUUUCCUUGGUUCCUGAAAAGCUUGGAUAGGUUGUUGAGUUUUCUUUUGCCAGGUGACAGGUAGAUGAUUGAGAAGUUGCUUGGAGAGGCCCGGCUGCCAGUUCCACGUCACACUCGAGGAUAGUUUUCUUUUUGGGUUUGUUAUCGUUUGGGUGGUAUGUUGAUUGUGUAUUUUGCUUUUCAAUAAGUCGACGUGAAUUUUGGAGUUAAGUCUGGUGAUUGCAGGUAUUUUCUUUAUUGCCGUUGUUGGUCUUACGUUCAUAUUAUUUUAUGUUUUCCGAUGCGUUUA